GAUGAACGCUGGCGGCGUGCCUAAUACAUGCAAGUCGAGCGAACGGACGAGAAGCUUGCUUCUCGGAUGUUAGCGGCGGACGGGUGAGUAACACGUGGAUAACCUACCUAUAAAACUGGGAUAACUUCGGGAAACCGGAGCUAAUACCGGAUAAUAUUUUGAACCGCAUGGUUCAAAAGUGAAAGACGGUCUUGCUGUCACGUAUAGAUGGAUCCGCGCUGCAUUAGCUAGUUGGUAAUGUAACGGCUUACCAAGGCAACGAUGCAUAGCCGACCUGAGAGGGGGAUCGGCCACAGUGGAACUGACACACGGUACAGAGUCCUACGGGAGGCAGCAGUAGGGAAUCUUCCGAACAGGGCGAAAGCCUGAACGAGCAACGCCGCGGGAGUGAUGAAGGUCUGCGGAUCGUAAAACUCUCUUAUUAGGGAAGAACAUAUGUGUCAGUAACUGUGCACAUCUUGACGGUACCUAAUCAGAAAGCCACGGCUAACUACGU
This 496-nucleotide ribosomal RNA is filed under the name uncultured bacterium. RNAcentral describes it as "partial 16S ribosomal RNA". It matches the Rfam family "Bacterial small subunit ribosomal RNA", at positions 28 to 506 of the family's 1533-position model. The record is from RNAcentral.